RNAcentral lists this ribosomal RNA (339 nucleotides) under Triticum aestivum (bread wheat). RNAcentral describes it as "partial small subunit ribosomal RNA". Lineage: Eukaryota; Viridiplantae; Streptophyta; Magnoliopsida; Poales; Poaceae. The record is from RNAcentral.
AUGAUCUGUAUGGGUGACAUGAACGACAUCCUGUAUGAUAUGGACAAGUGCAAUGCUAAUGUUAAUCAGUAUAGGAUGUCUGCUUUUCGUGAUUUAAUUAAAAACUGUGGCUUCUUUGACAUCGGCUAUAGUGGUCCGGCCUACACUUGGCGCAAUAGGCAACACACUGCAAUCCCUAUUUAUCAACGUUUAGAUUGAUGUUUGGUUAAUCCCGAUUGGUGUGCUUGCUAUCCAAAUACGAAGGUGCUUAAUUUACCUAUCAUUCUUAGUGAUCACGCGCCUAUCUUGAUCUCUACUGAUGGUCAAAAAGAAGAAGACUAUUCAACUGGAGUUACAUGA